AUGACCAUACAGUUCAUGAUUGCAAUGCCAGGUGCCAGCACAGCUCCAGUGGAAAAAGACCGUACUGAAGAAAUGGUAACCCGGUGCAUAGUGGAGGUUCUGUCCAAUGCUCUGUCUAAGCCAAAUGCACCCCCCAUUAAUCCUGAAUGCAAAGAAAUCCUGAAGAAGAGUGAUAAAAAUGACAGAGAUAGAAGUGAAAACAAACAGCCUGAAGUGAGGCAGCCCAAAGAUCCAGCAGAGACCGAAAAACAUCCUACUGGGAGCGUGGAGGAAGAACAAAGACAGGCAGAAGAGGAAUCUAAAAAGUAUAUGGAAGGAGGUGAUGAGGAGAAACUUGCUCAUGAGGAAGGCAAGAGCAAGGAAGAGGAGGCUGGACACCACACACCUGCUCAGGACGAGACACUUCACACGGAAGAAAAAAAGCACUACCAGCAAACUGGGAGAGAGGAGGAGAGGAAUUACCACAGUGAAGAGGAAAGUAAAGAUGGCAAGUGUUGUGAAGAGGUAGAGGCUGCUGUUCUCACCAAGAAGUCCCAGUCUGAGGGCAUGAGCAUGGAUGAGUUCCAUGGUGGGAAUGAUCAGAGCCCCAGGGGCCGCUGGCACCUGGAGGAGGGAAUGCAGAGCCCUUACAAACAAAUUCGGGAAGGUGAAGAGGAAGAAAGGAGUGGGAAAUACCACCAUGAGUCUCAGGAACGUGGUUUCUCCCAGCAGCAGGAGCGUGAAGAAUCCGAGGAGAGUGAGGAAAGAGAAGAGGGAAAGGAACCCUACAAACCCAAAGGUUAUCAUGGGAAGCACAGAGCAGGUGAAUCCUAUGAAGAGAAGAGAGGCCAGGGUGGUGAGAGGGGGGAAGCAGCUGGGGGAUCACACCCAGGGGAGGCCAGUCUCUGGGAGCAGUGGAAGCACCGUCAGAAACAUCGGGAAGAGUCAGAGGAGAAGGGUGGCUCUGCUGGGAGGCGUGGGCCUGAGGAGCUGCAGGAGGAGAGGCCUGCAGGGCAGGGCGGUGAGGAGCACAGGGACAGCUGGCAGGAGAGCAGGGAAGAGGAAAACGAGAGGCAUCACCACAGCGAGGAGAGCAGUGAGAAGUGGCGUGAGGAGAGGAGACACCAUGAUGGAUCACACGGUGCUGAGGGGAGGAUGUACCUUGCUGAUGAAAACGAGGAAGAGCUGGACCGGUAUCUCAGCAAGGAGAAGCAGCGGCGUGUCGGAGGGAGAUCCCGUUUAGGGAACAAAGCAGAGGAAGGGUCACAGAAGGCCUAUGCUCCAGAGCACCAGCGGCAGGCCAGGAGGCACUACAGCACUGAGGACAGCCUGGAGGAGGAGGUGGAGGUGGAAAAGAAGCGUCACAGCAGUGACCAGGUGGAAAAUGAAGAGGAGGAAAGAUUUGCAGAGAGAGAAGAGUACAGAGGCCAUCUCCCUGCAGAGAAAGAGAAGAGAACUGCAGCAUCCUACAGGCCUUUCUACCCACUGCUGUGGUGGAAAAGCCGGCACUUGGACAAAAGGGAUGGUGCAGGGGAGCAGCUUCUGAAGGGCAGGCCUGCCCUGAGUGAGAAGAACCUUUUCCCUGAAUACAAUGACUAUGAGUGGUGGUCAGAAAAGCAAAUCCAGAGCGCUCUGAACCACAGGCGCACCGAGAAGAGGAAUCCCGGCAAAACGAGCAGGUACGGUGUGGAAAGGCAGUACAACAAGAUGGAUCAACUUGCACAACUUCUGAACUACAGGAAGAAGUCAGCUGAACUGCCAGAGCUGUACACCUCUGGAGAAGACGUGAAGAAACGUAGCGUGGCUGGGAAUGACAGAAGGAGCCUAAGCCAGAGGCCCCUGACGGAAGAGGAGUAUCCAGGAAAAACUGAGCCUCCACCCAUCAGUUAGCUCCCAUCAGCCAGAUCCUCCUCGUGUGUGUCACUGUUACCUGUUACAUUGCACAAAGCUGUGCUGGGGGCAGUGGAGGCUGGACGCUGAUCUAUACAGAUGUUAAUUGGUGUUGACAACAAGUCAUCGUGGUAAAGGAUUGGCUGCAUGAAGCUUCUCCUGCUCCCUGUGCUUGCUGUGGGACCCUCACCUGAGCCCUAGGGACAGCACCUGUAGCUGUGGCAUGGCAGGAGGCCACCACUGGGAAAAGCAGCUGGAAAACUUGGCCACCAUGGAUCUGGAGCUGCAGAACAUAGCAGAGAAGAUCAACAGCCUCAGGAGAGGCUGAAGGUGUCUCUUCAGUUUUUGUGUUCUGUUGUAAAUUCACUGCCCCUGGAUUGUUUGCCCUAAACCCAGGAAAUUCUAUUCACUUGUCCACUCUCGUGUAGUGAUUUACACAGCUCAAAGUGUCUUUAAUUUGCUCUUAUGCUCCCGAGACCUGAAUGGCAUGAAUUUUAGUAAUAUAACCUUUUGUGUGGGCAGGUAUUUUUAAUAUGCUUUUGGAGAUAAUUGUGUUAGUGUUCUUCAGGAAUAUAUUUGUCUGAGUUUGCAAUAAU
Molecule: RNA transcript, 2465 nt
Organism: Cinclus cinclus
Lineage: Eukaryota; Metazoa; Chordata; Aves; Passeriformes; Cinclidae
Gene: CHGB
Gene name: chromogranin B
Exons: 6
Source: RefSeq, a predicted model, not a curated record